RNAcentral lists this ribosomal RNA (506 nucleotides) under uncultured bacterium. Its description in RNAcentral is "partial 16S ribosomal RNA". It matches the Rfam family "Bacterial small subunit ribosomal RNA", at positions 29 to 523 of the family's 1533-position model. The record is from RNAcentral.
AUUGAACGCUGGCGGCAGGCCUAACACAUGCAAGUCGAGCGGCAGCGGGGGAAAGCUUGCUUUCCCGCCGGCGAGCGGCGGACGGGUGAGUAAUGUCUGGGAAACUGCCUGAUGGAGGGGGAUAACUACUGGAAACGGUAGCUAAUACCGCAUAACGUCUUCGGACCAAAGUGGGGGACCUUCGGGCCUCAUGCCAUCAGAUGUGCCCAGAUGGGAUUAGCUAGUAGGUGGGGUAACGGCUCACCUAGGCGACGAUCCCUAGCUGGUCUGAGAGGAUGACCAGCCACACUGGAACGGAGAGACGGUCCAGACUCCGACGGGAGGCAGCAGUGGGGAAUAUUGCGCAAUGGGCGCAAGCCUGAUGCAGCCAUGCCGCGUGUAUGAAGAAGGCCUUCGGGUUGUAAAGUACUUUCAGCGGGGAGGAAGGUGUUGUGGUUAAUAACCAGAGCAAUUGACGUUACCCGCAGAAGAAGCACCGGCUAACUCCGUGCCAGCCGCCGCGGUAA